This 234-nucleotide ribosomal RNA is filed under the name uncultured Herbaspirillum sp. RNAcentral describes it as "partial 16S ribosomal RNA". It matches the Rfam family "Bacterial small subunit ribosomal RNA", at positions 91 to 329 of the family's 1533-position model. The record is from RNAcentral. Lineage: Bacteria; Pseudomonadati; Pseudomonadota; Betaproteobacteria; Burkholderiales; Oxalobacteraceae.
GCGAUUGGCGAACGGGUGAGUAAUAUAUCGGAACGUGCCCUAGAGUGGGGAAUAACUAGUCGAAAGACUAGCUAAUACCGCAUACGAUCUACGGAUGAAAGUGGGGGAUCGCAAGACCUCAUGCUCCUGGAGCGGCCGAUAUCUGAUUAGCUAGUUGGUGGGUAAAAGCCUACCAAGGCAACGAUCAGUAGCUGGUCUGAGAGGACGACCAGCCACACUGGGACUGAGACACGG